Molecule: ribosomal RNA, 403 nt
Filed under: Arthrobacter sp.
Lineage: Bacteria; Bacillati; Actinomycetota; Actinomycetes; Micrococcales; Micrococcaceae
Description: bacterial SSU rRNA
Rfam family: Bacterial small subunit ribosomal RNA
Source: RNAcentral
ACGAUGAACCUCACUUGUGGGGGGAUUAGUGGCGAACGGGUGAGUAACACGUGAGUAACCUGCCCUUGACUCUGGGAUAAGCCUGGGAAACCGGGUCUAAUACUGGAUACGACCUUCUGGCGCAUGCCAUGUUGGUGGAAAGCUUUUGUGGUUUUGGAUGGACUCGCGGCCUAUCAGCUUGUUGGUGGGGUAAUGGCCUACCAAGGCGACGACGGGUAGCCGGCCUGAGAGGGUGACCGGCCACACUGGGACUGAGACACGGCCCAGACUCCUACGGGAGGCAGCAGUGGGGAAUAUUGCACAAUGGGCGCAAGCCUGAUGCAGCGACGCCGCGUGAGGGAUGAAGGCCUUCGGGUUGUAAACCUCUUUCAGUAGGGAAGAAGCCGGCCUUUGGGUUGGUGAC